GGAAGGAUCAUUACAGAAUUGUCAACGGGUUGUUGCUGGUCCUCGAACGGGGACAUGUGCACGCUCUGUUUACACAUCCACUCACACCUGUGCACCCUCCGUAGUUCUGCGGUCUGGGGGACCCCUGUCCUCCUGCCGUGGUUCUACGUCUUUACACACACAC
Molecule: unclassified non-coding RNA, 163 nt
Filed under: uncultured fungus
Lineage: Eukaryota; Fungi
Description: sequence contains ITS1, 5.8S rRNA gene, ITS2 and 28S rRNA gene
Source: RNAcentral